AUUAGAGGUGGUUAGAAGAUUCAGGGCAGAACCUUCAACAACCUCCUGCCCAGAAGUCUCCAGAGCUAGACCCUCAAGUUUGUCAGGAACAUUGCCUCUUCUCCACGGUACUCCAGCAAAGCAGACCCGCAGCAAGAGGACAGAACAAUCAGAGGAAGCUGCACAGGCAGAAGCCUCCUCUAGACCUCCUUCUUGCAGCCUGUCUUCCACCCACACUGCCUGUCACGGUCUAAGAUGGAAAUGAGAAGCCUCCUUCACCGACGGCUCCUUUUCUCUGCUCACCUCAGCAGUCUCCUACAUUAGACUUGGAAGGAAUCUUUCCAAGUUCCUGACAUAAGGAGAGCUUUGAGUUCAUCCAAACCCUGGGAGGGAGGAGACUUGAGAGGAGCAUGAAUGAAUGACACACCUGGCCCAGAGACCGUGCUGAAACCCACCCUAGACCGUGGUGAAGUGCUCUGGGUUCAAAGCUUGGCUCCUCCACUCCUUAGCCAUGUCAGUUUGGGUUGGUAACAUUAACCUCCCAGUGCCUCAUGUUCCUCAUCCGCUAAAUAUGGAAAAGAAUAGGAAUCAUUUCAUACGACGGUUGUAUCAGCGCACUUGGAACAGUGUCCAGCAAUGGUCAGUCCACAAUAUUGUCGAUACACUAGGAUUGUGAUCGUCAUCCCUCACCGAGUCUCCAGCGAGGAGGAAGGUGCCGGACGUGUGAGAGCGCUAACCACAGGCCUGACCACAAGAAGGGACCUCUGAGUGCUCACGGCACAGUCAGAGGAGUCACCGACGGGAUGCGGAGCUGGGCAGCCCUGAGUUCCGACCCGGGCUCUGCCCUCGGUUUUCUCCUCUGUCCGACGGGCUGUGGGGGUUACGCAGCCUAACGAGCGGAAGCGCUGUGAACGUGGCGAGGCCGCGAAUACAGGCCAUCACGGCUGUCGACCAGGAGGCGGAGAGCUUCAGCCCGCGAGCUCGGGACGGGAACGCCGGGGUCAGAGAGCGAAGGUCCCCACCCGGCUCACUCUUCCUCUCUGAGGUCCUGCUCUGCCCGGACGGCCACCCUUCCGCUGCCCGGGCCCAGGUUCAGACCCGCCGCAGCACGCGGUCCUCAGCCCCGGCGCGACCGCAGAAUCGCCUGCGGGACGCUAGACACGUCAGCGGCGGGCGCCCCGAGACCCCGCAUUGACCAGCAGCCGGGGACGCCCCCGGAGCAGCUGAGCUACCCGCUUGUGAUUGGCUUAGAAAUGCUCACGCGAUGCCUCUCUGGCCAAUGAGGGGUGAGGAUGAGUCCCCAGGGGAUUCUGGGAAGGGCUUUUCUCCUGACACAGAGAAAGAGCGAGAGACCGAGAGAGACGGAGACAGAGGGAGAGGAGAAGGAGGAGCUCCAGGGCCGCUAUGACGGUGUGUGCUGGUGGCCUCUGAGGUGGUCCCGGGUGGUGGUCCCCGGAUGGUGGUCCCCGUGAGGUGGUUCCUAAGGUCGUCCCGGGUGGUGGUCCCCGUGUGGUGGUCCCAUGAGGUGGUCCCCUGAGGUGGUCCCGGAUGGUGGUCCCCAUGAGGUGGUCCCAUGAGGUGGUCCCAGGUGGUGGUCCCCGGGUGGUGGUCCCCGUGAGGUGGUUCCUAAGGUCGUCCCCGUGAGGUGGUCCCAUGAGGUGGUCCCGGGUGGUGGUCCCCGUGUGGUGGUCCCAUGAGGUGGUCCCCUGAGGUGGUCCCUUGUGGUGGUCGCCAUGAGGUGGCCAUGUCAGGUCAGGACCCACGGAAGGGGUGGGGUGGGGUCCUUGGGGCUCCACCAGCCCAGCGUCCGGCUUCCCCGAGGCGAGAGCAAAAGUGAAGGAGCGAAAUCAGCAACAGCUGCGGAGCCUCCCUGCAGGCAGCCCUGGCAGCUCCGGCCUCGCUGCUCCUGUUACGGCUCUCCUGCCCCAGUGAGGCCGAAGGACCUUUCAUCUUCUGGGAAAUCGUCUGCGGGAGAGGUAACACCACAAGUGUUUCCACCCCGAGUCCUCCAAAAGCCCGACCGGAAGCUCAUCCCCUCGCCGAGGGAAUGCUGGCUGCAGCCGGGAGUG
This 2048-nucleotide long non-coding RNA is filed under the name Equus caballus (horse). Its description in RNAcentral is "lncRNA (ENSECAG00000049930.1)". Lineage: Eukaryota; Metazoa; Chordata; Mammalia; Perissodactyla; Equidae. The record is from RNAcentral.